AACGACUCUCGGCAACGGAUAUCUCGGCUCUCGCAUCGAUGAAGAACGUAGCGAAAUGCGAUACUUGGUGUGAAUUGCAGAAUCCCGUGAACCAUCGAGUCUUUGAACGCAAGUUGCGCCCGAAGCCUUUUUUGGCUGAGGGCACGUCUGCCUGGGCGUCACAC
RNAcentral lists this ribosomal RNA (164 nucleotides) under Pharnaceum lineare. RNAcentral describes it as "5.8S ribosomal RNA". It matches the Rfam family "5.8S ribosomal RNA". Rfam says of the family: 5.8S ribosomal RNA (5.8S rRNA) is a component of the large subunit of the eukaryotic ribosome. It is transcribed by RNA polymerase I as part of the 45S precursor that also contains 18S and 28S rRNA. Functionally, it is thought that 5.8S rRNA may be involved in ribosome translocation. The record is from RNAcentral. Lineage: Eukaryota; Viridiplantae; Streptophyta; Magnoliopsida; Caryophyllales; Molluginaceae.